AUGAACGCUGGCGGCGUGCUUCACACAUGCAAGUCGAACGGAAAGGCUCCUGCUUGCAGGGGUACUCGAGUGGCGAACGGGUGAGUAACACGUGGGUGAUCUGCCCUGCACUUCGGGAUAAGCCUGGGAAACUGGGUCUAAUACCGGAUAGGACGAUGGUUUGGAUGCCAUUGUGGAAAGUUUUUCGGUGUGGGAUGAGCUCGCGGCCUAUCAGCUUGUUGGUGGGGUAAUGGCCUACCAAGGCGUCGACGGGUAGCCGGCCUGAGAGGGUGUACGGCCACAUUGGGACUGAGAUACGGCCCAGACUCCUACGGGAGGCAGCAGUGGGGAAUAUUGCACAAUGGGCGCAAGCCUGAUGCAGCGACGCCGCGUGGGGGAUGACGGCCUUCGGGUUGUAAACUCCUUUCGCUAGGGACGAAGCGCAAGUGACGGUACCUGGAGAAGAAGCACCGGCUAACUACGUG
This 464-nucleotide ribosomal RNA is filed under the name uncultured bacterium. RNAcentral's name for it is "partial 16S ribosomal RNA". It matches the Rfam family "Bacterial small subunit ribosomal RNA", at positions 29 to 507 of the family's 1533-position model. The record is from RNAcentral.